UAUAUCUGGAUUGUAAGGAGACCUAUAACUGGUAGAAUAUUUAUGUCAAGGACAUGGUUCAUCCAAAAAUGUAAAUUCAUUGUGUUCAGCAGAAGGAAGAAAGUCAUACACAUCUGGAAUGGCAUGAGGCAUCCCUACAGAGUGCUUCAACUUGAACCCUUUUUGGUGAUGUUACACUAUUGCAUAUAUUGCUAUUGCUUGAAGACAUUGGUAUCAGGGCAUGAACAGCACUCUACAAUCCAUCACCUGACAGAGG
Molecule: long non-coding RNA, 256 nt
Organism: Xyrauchen texanus (razorback sucker)
Lineage: Eukaryota; Metazoa; Chordata; Actinopteri; Cypriniformes; Catostomidae
Exons: 3
Source: RefSeq, a predicted model, not a curated record